AACCUCACUGAGCAGGAGAAGAGACCAUACCAACAAAGGUAGAUUUUCCCCAAGGAGUGGCUUGUCCGUUGCAUUCUAAAUAUGGUGGCUUCUGCUCUUUCUCUAAUGUGGGAACCGCCACUGCAUAGUUUGUAGUUGUGCGGAGUUGUGUUUGCUCCCACCACC
Molecule: small nuclear RNA, 165 nt
Filed under: Sorex araneus (European shrew)
Lineage: Eukaryota; Metazoa; Chordata; Mammalia; Eulipotyphla; Soricidae
Description: U1 spliceosomal RNA (ENSSARG00000019365.1)
Source: RNAcentral